AGAUUCCUACGGGAGGCAGCAGUGAGGAAUUUUCCGCAAUGGGCGAAUGCCUGACGGAGCAAUGCCGCGUGGAGGAUGAAGGCCCGUGGGUUGUAAACUCCUUUUCUUAGAGAAGAAGAUCUGACGGUAUCUAAGGAAUAAGCAUCGGCUAACUCCGUGCCAGCAGCCGCGGUAAUACGGAGGAUGCAAGCGUUAUCCGGAAUCAUUGGGCGUAAAGGGUCCUGAGGUGGCCUGCCCAGUCCGCUGUGAAAGAUCAGGGCUCAACCCUGAAUAUGCGGUGGAAACUAGCAGGCUAGAAUACGGUAGGGGCAGGGGGAAUUCCCGGUGUAGCGGUGAAAUGCAUAGAUAUCGGGAAGAACACCAACGGCGAAGGCACCCUGCUGGGCCGAUAUUGACACUGACAGACGAGAGCUAGGGGAGCGAAUGGGAUUAGAUACCCCAGUAGUCCUAGCCGUAAACGAUGGAUACCAAGUGCUGAACGACUCAAAACGUGCAGUGCUGCAGCUAACGCGCUAAGUAUCCCGCCUGGGGAGUAUGCCCGCAAGGGUGAAACUCAAAUGAAUUGACGGGG
This 571-nucleotide ribosomal RNA is filed under the name uncultured bacterium. RNAcentral's name for it is "bacterial SSU rRNA". It matches the Rfam family "Bacterial small subunit ribosomal RNA", at positions 333 to 918 of the family's 1533-position model. The record is from RNAcentral.